Myotis davidii is the source of this 71-nucleotide non-coding RNA. Lineage: Eukaryota; Metazoa; Chordata; Mammalia; Chiroptera; Vespertilionidae. The record is from Rfam.
GGUGGUUCUCGGGUGAUGCGCCUCAGAAUCGGGCUCCCUCCUCUCUGGUUCCAGGGUGUGUCAGAACCACC